UGGGGAGCAUGAAUGGGUGGCAGAGAAGGGAGGUCAAAGGAUAAGAUGACAGCAAGAAGAAAGACUGGGACACUGGUAGAAAAGUGGCAGCUGCUAAAGUAUAUUGCUUGGAACCCCAGUGUGACUCUGAACCCUGGAGAGGGCUUUGUAAAGACAAGGAUUUGGCUCAACAAUGUGAACGUGGAAACUAGGCAGCACUCAGAUUCAGAUUCUGACCUUCCUUCCUGAUGACUGCCAGGCCUUCUGAGAAUCUCAACCGGUCUGGAGAGGCAGCAUACAGUGCCUUAGCGCAAGUGAGGGAACUGUGACAGGAUGAAUGGAGAGGGCAGACAUACUGCAGACCAUGUCAGAAGGGAAGGUAGAGGCUUGAAACCACAGAGAAGCAAACAUACAAACAGAAAAAAAAAUAAAUAAAGCCCUCUCUUGCUCCUGC
Long non-coding RNA from Zalophus californianus (California sea lion), 433 nucleotides. RefSeq lists it as uncharacterized. The record is from RefSeq and is a predicted model, not a curated record. The transcript is spliced from 3 exons. NCBI's taxonomy places the organism in Eukaryota, Metazoa, Chordata, Mammalia, Carnivora, Otariidae.